RNAcentral lists this ribosomal RNA (216 nucleotides) under Campeiostachys nutans. RNAcentral's name for it is "Elymus nutans partial small subunit ribosomal RNA". The stretch from base 40 to 216 matches the Rfam family "Eukaryotic small subunit ribosomal RNA", at positions 686 to 864 of the family's 1831-position model. Lineage: Eukaryota; Viridiplantae; Streptophyta; Magnoliopsida; Poales; Poaceae. The record is from RNAcentral.
GGGUUAGUAGGUUGGUCAUGCCCCUGGUGUGUACUAGUCUCACUGAUUCCUCCUUCCUGAUGAACCUUAAUGCCAUUAAUUUGGUGUUUUGGGGAAUUUGGACUGUGACUUUGAAAAAAUUAGAGUGUUUAAAGCAAGCUAACGCUUGAAUACAUUAGCAUGGAAUAAUGAAAUAGGACGUUCGAUCCUAUUUUGUUGGUUUCUAGGAUUGACGUA